AAAAAAGAGGAAGUCCAAGGAAUCUGCUGAAUCUGAAGACCGAACAAACCACAGAGAACAGUGUUUACCUGAUCAGAGACAGCUACAGGAGCAGGAUGAUCUUCAGUAUGCCAGCAUCCACUUCAACAACCAGGCAGAUCCUCUCUACUCCAACAUGAGAGCAGCUCAGCCCCGCAGACACACGGAGGAACAGGAAGUUGCUGAGUACACUGCUGUUAGAUUUAACAGAGGCAGUGAAGCCAAGAGAGGCAGAAGUCACGAAACAGAAGAGUCGUCAUGUGGAUUGUACGCCACAGUCAACAAAACCUGAUGAACAUGACAGGCAGCUGAUGGAGGGAUAUUUGACUUUUGUUUUAAAUGUAAAGCUCAGUUGAAGUUAUGUUGCUUCUAAAAAUAGGUGCCAUAUUGUUAUAUUGAUGUUGUUGGGGUUUAUUUUUUACCCAAUGAAUAAAAUGACAAAUGUUUAAAAGUAAACUCCAGUAAAUUAAUUAAUAAACAGUGGCUGAACCAAAUAAUAGAUCAUUAAAUAAUACAUUAGACAGAGAGCGACAGAUAGAUAGUUCCAGACCAACUUCACGGCCUUUGGGCGAUAUGUUUAUCUUGUUUAUGACCUUCCUGGUCUCAGAGAGGAAUAUUUUUAUCUUAUCCUUA
Molecule: long non-coding RNA, 651 nt
Organism: Archocentrus centrarchus (flier cichlid)
Lineage: Eukaryota; Metazoa; Chordata; Actinopteri; Cichliformes; Cichlidae
Exons: 3
Source: RefSeq, a predicted model, not a curated record